ACUACGGGUGGCAGCAGUGAGGAAUAUUGGUCAAUGGGCGGAAGCCUGAACCAGCCAAGUAGCGUGCAGGAUGACGGCCCUACGGGUUGUAAACUGCUUUUAUACGGGAAUAACGCGCCUUACGUGUAGGGCUUUGCAUGUACCGUAUGAAUAAGGACCGGCUAAUUCCGUUCCAGCAGCCGCGGUAAUAUGGAAGGUCCGGGCGUUAUCCGGAUUUAUUGGGUUGAAAGGGAGCGUAGGCCGCAUGUCAAGCGUGCUGUGAAAUGUCCGGGCUCAACCCGGGCCUUGCAGCGCGAACUGGCGUGCUUGAGUCCGCGGAAAGCAGGCGGAAUUCGUCGUGUAGCGGUGAAAUGCUUAGAUAUGACGAAGAACCCCGAUUGCGAAGGCAGCUUGCUGCAGCGGAACUGACGCUGAUGCUCGAAAGCGCGGGUAUCGAACAGGAUUAGAUACCCUUGUAGUC
Molecule: ribosomal RNA, 460 nt
Filed under: uncultured bacterium
Lineage: Bacteria
Description: partial 16S ribosomal RNA
Rfam family: Bacterial small subunit ribosomal RNA
Source: RNAcentral